CUCAUCAGGCUCAUGACCUGAAGACUGCAGGUUCGAAUCCUGUCCCCGCCU
Triticum aestivum (bread wheat) is the source of this 51-nucleotide non-coding RNA. NCBI's taxonomy places the organism in Eukaryota, Viridiplantae, Streptophyta, Magnoliopsida, Poales, Poaceae. The record is from Rfam.